CGUCACUCCGGUGUGAACACAUAGCACCGGUAGAGGGAACCGGGGGAAUUGAAACAUCUCAGUACCCCGAGGAAAAGAAAACAACGUGACUCCCUGAGUAGCGGCGAGCGAAAAGGGACCAGCCCAAACCCAAAUGGUGUUAAAGCCUGGUGGCGUUGCCAUUUGGGGGGUUGUGGGACUCGAGAGCAGGCGCACCAGAACCUGCACGGAGUUACCAAGUUGAUGCGUAGUGGAAGCGCUUUGGAAAAGCGCGCCGCAGUGGGUAAUAGCCCCGUACACGAAACGUACUCAACCUCCGCUCGAUCAUCCCAAGUAACGCCGGGACCGUGAAAACUGGCGUGAAUCUGCGAGGACCACCUCGUAAGGCUAAGUAUACGUAGACGACCGAUAGUGAACCAGUACCGUGAGGGAAAGGUGAAAAGUACCCCGGGAGGGGAGUGAAAUAGUACCUGAAACCGUUGGCAUACAAUCAGUCAAAGCGUCGUCAUGACUUCGGUCAUGGCC
RNAcentral lists this ribosomal RNA (504 nucleotides) under uncultured bacterium. Its description in RNAcentral is "bacterial LSU rRNA". It matches the Rfam family "Bacterial large subunit ribosomal RNA", at positions 146 to 613 of the family's 2925-position model. The record is from RNAcentral.